UGGGGAAUAUUGGACAAUGGGGGCAACCCUGAUCCAGCAAUGCCGCGUGUGUGAAGAAGGCCUGCGGGUUGUAAAGCACUUUCAGUAGAGAAGAAAAGCCUAGAGAUAAUACCUUUGGGUCUUGACGUUACCUACAGAAGAAGCACCGGCUAACUCCGUGCCAGCAGCCGCGGUAAUACGGAGGGUGCGAGCGUUAAUCGGAAUUACUGGGCGUAAAGCGCGCGUAGGCGGUUUUAUAAGUCGGAUGUGAAAGCCCUGGGCUUAACCUGGGAAUUGCAUUCGAAACUAUCUGACUAGAGUAUGGGAGAGGGAAGUGGAAUUUCCGGUGUAGCGGUGAAAUGCGUAGAUAUCGGAAGGAACACCAGUGGCGAAGGCGACUUCCUGGACCAAUACUGACGCUGAGGUGCGAAAGCGUGGGGAGCAAACAGGAUUAGAUACCCCCGUAGUCC
RNAcentral lists this ribosomal RNA (449 nucleotides) under uncultured prokaryote. RNAcentral describes it as "bacterial SSU rRNA". It matches the Rfam family "Bacterial small subunit ribosomal RNA", at positions 355 to 796 of the family's 1533-position model. The record is from RNAcentral.